ACCUUCAUAGCGCAGGGGUAGCGCGCCAGGUUUAUAACCUGAAGAUCCUCCGUUCGAACCGGAGUGAAGCUG
Hypoxylon fuscum is the source of this 72-nucleotide non-coding RNA. NCBI's taxonomy places the organism in Eukaryota, Fungi, Ascomycota, Sordariomycetes, Xylariales, Hypoxylaceae. The record is from the annotation of a GenBank genome assembly.